CAGCAGCCGCGGUAAAACGGAGGGUGCAAGCGUUACUCGGAAUCACUGGGCGUAAAGGACGCGUAGGCGGAUUAUCAAGUCUCUUGUGAAAUCUAACGGCUUAACCGUUAAACUGCUUGGGAAACUGAUAACCUAGAGUAAGGGAGAGGCAGAUGGAAUUCUUGGUGUAGGGGUAAAAUCCGUAGAUAUCAAGAAGAAUACCUAUUGCGAAGGCGAUCUGCUGGAACUUAACUGACGCUAAUGCGUGAAAGCGUGGGGAGCAAACAGGAUUAGAUACCCCAGUAGUCCCUGUCUCUUAUAC
RNAcentral lists this ribosomal RNA (301 nucleotides) under uncultured bacterium. Its description in RNAcentral is "partial 16S ribosomal RNA". It matches the Rfam family "Bacterial small subunit ribosomal RNA", at positions 509 to 807 of the family's 1533-position model. The record is from RNAcentral.